GGGAGGCACCAUGUGUACUUGAUUCAAUUAGGCGGUCUGUGAGGCCCCCCCCUGGGAGCGGGGGGCUGCAAGAAAAAAAAGAGGCUGCAGGCCUGUCUAACAAAGACGUUCCAACCAGCCCUUUGCCGCUUCUGAAUCCACCUCAUUAGUCGGCCGAGUAAGUGCUGAUCAUCUCAAAAGUGUCUUCAGCACACAACAGUGUCUUCCUGAUGUGCGGCAGGAACGUUUUGGAACUGGGGAGUAUUUUUCACCGCAGAGAACCGAAGAGGACAAUGCCUCCAUUUUGUUUGAGCCGCUGCAGCACAAACUGAAAUUGACACAGCGAUUGAAAAUGAAAAAUUCAACCCGCGGAGGAAACGUCCGAGCUGCGUGUGAACAGAUCAGUAGGAAUAAUAUCUGCUGGCAAACAUCUGUCACAUCCACUAUCGGACUCGCAGCACAGAAGGUCCUGCAUGUUUCAAAGUUUCCUCCGUAUCACAGAGAAUAAGGAGAGCAUUUAGCUUUUUCUGAAUGUCAAACUGAUAACUAGGAUCCAGCGACAUUAGUAUUCGUUCUCGUUCUGCUGGUCCUUUCAAACGCAGCAGAUGUGUGUUUCUAUAUUUGCAAGUUGUCAGACCUGCUCAGAAGCAAAUGGCGGAAAGAGAUUAAAAAAGGGAAAAACA
Non-coding RNA from Gasterosteus aculeatus aculeatus (three-spined stickleback), 662 nucleotides. NCBI's taxonomy places the organism in Eukaryota, Metazoa, Chordata, Actinopteri, Perciformes, Gasterosteidae. The record is from RefSeq and is a predicted model, not a curated record.